GGGUGUAAAGGGAGCGCAGGCGGGAAGACAAGUUGGAAGUGAAAACCAUGGGACUCAACCCAUGAAUUGCUUUCAAAACUGUUUUUCUUGAGUAGUGCAGAGGUAGAUGGAAUUCCGGGUAGCGGUGGAAUGCGUAGAUAUCGGGAGGAACACCAGUGGCGAAGGCGGUCUACUGGGCACCAACUGACGCUGAGGCUCGAAAGCAUGGGUAGCAAACAGGAUUAGAUACCCUGGUAGUCCAUGCCGUAGACGAUGAUUACUAGGUGUUGGGGGGAUUGACCCCCUCAGUGCCGCAGUUAACACAAUAAGUAAUCCACCUGGGGAGUACGACCGCAAGGUUGAAACUCAAAGGAAUUGACGGGGGCCCGCACAAGCAGUGGAGUAUGUGGUUUAAUUCGAAGCAACGCGAAGAACCUUACCAGGUCUUGACAUCCGAUGCAUAACACAGAGAUGUGUGAAAUCCUUCGGGACAUCGAGACAGGUGGUGCAUGGUU
This 494-nucleotide ribosomal RNA is filed under the name uncultured Faecalibacterium sp. Its description in RNAcentral is "bacterial SSU rRNA". It matches the Rfam family "Bacterial small subunit ribosomal RNA", at positions 556 to 1050 of the family's 1533-position model. The record is from RNAcentral. Lineage: Bacteria; Bacillati; Bacillota; Clostridia; Eubacteriales; Oscillospiraceae.